RNAcentral lists this ribosomal RNA (251 nucleotides) under uncultured Saccharopolyspora sp. RNAcentral describes it as "partial 16S ribosomal RNA". It matches the Rfam family "Bacterial small subunit ribosomal RNA", at positions 524 to 774 of the family's 1533-position model. Lineage: Bacteria; Bacillati; Actinomycetota; Actinomycetes; Pseudonocardiales; Pseudonocardiaceae. The record is from RNAcentral.
UACGUAGGGUGCGAGCGUUGUCCGGAAUUAUUGGGCGUAAAGAGCUCGUAGGCGGUUUGUCGCGUCGAUCGUGAAAACCCAUCGCUUAACGGUGGGCGUGCGGUCGAUACGGGCAGACUUGAGUUCGGUAGGGGAGACUGGAAUUCCUGGUGUAGCGGUGAAAUGCGCAGAUAUCAGGAGGAACACCGGUGGCGAAGGCGGGUCUCUGGGCCGAUACUGACGCUGAGGAGCGAAAGCGUGGGGAGCGAACA